RNAcentral lists this ribosomal RNA (849 nucleotides) under Triticum aestivum (bread wheat). RNAcentral's name for it is "partial small subunit ribosomal RNA". The record is from RNAcentral. Lineage: Eukaryota; Viridiplantae; Streptophyta; Magnoliopsida; Poales; Poaceae.
AUGGCGAGAGGAGGCCUAGGUUUCCAGGAUAUGCACGGUUUCAACAUGGCAAUGUUAUCACGUCAGGCUUGGCAUUUGAUCCAAUACCCGGAUACGCUAUGCGCUCAUGUCCUCAAGGCUAGGUACUUUCCUCGUACCAGUGUUCUUGAAGCCGGGGUCAGGGAUGGCAUCUCAUACACCUCGAGGAGCAUGAUUAAGGGGAUACAACUAGUUCGUGAGGGCUACAUAUGGCGAAUAGGUGAUGGUGCCAAUGUGAACAUCUGGACGGACCCGUGGAUCCCAAGGCCGUGGUCAAGGAGGGUCAUUACCCCUAGAGGAAGCGAUCUCCUGAGUAAAGUUAGCGAUCUAAUUAACCCGACUACUGGGCAAUGGGAUGAGCGGUUGGUGUGGGAAACUUUCUUGGUUGAUGAUGCUCGUCAUAUCCUCCAAAUGCCUUUGCGUGAAGGGGUGCAGGACUUCAUUUCUUGGCAGUUUGAUGCGAAGGGAGAACACUCAGUGAAAAGUGCUUACAAAUUAUAUGUCGAGCUGGACACGCGGAGGAAGAAUGGUGGAGUGGGAAUGAGUUCGGCUACUGUUGGUAACCUGAAUGCUUGUCAGGAUGAUUCAUGGAAAAGAAUCUGGAAGUUACCUUGCCCAAGGACUGUGCAAAUGUUUACAUGGCGAGUGAAGCAUGAGUCUUUAGCACUUCUAACCAAUAUGGAAAGAAGAGGGCUCAAGCUUGAGAGCACGAAAUGCUAUUUUUGUGGCCAAGCAGAUGAAGAUGGGGCACACCUAUUUAUCAACUGCAAAGCUGUGAAGGAAGAAUGGAGAAAGCUGGUUCUAGAGAAAGAGAGGAUGGACUUGGAAUGA